Xenia sp. Carnegie-2017 is the source of this 1313-nucleotide long non-coding RNA. RefSeq lists it as uncharacterized. The record is from RefSeq and is a predicted model, not a curated record. The transcript has 3 exons. NCBI's taxonomy places the organism in Eukaryota, Metazoa, Cnidaria, Anthozoa, Malacalcyonacea, Xeniidae.
GCAUUCAAUCUUUCUUCCUUGAGGCGAAUUUAAGGAGUGUUCAGUGUCGCAAAACUAAUUUGUGUUUCAUUUCAACAUUUAAUAGCUAUGAUUUCAAGUCUGGAUGAUUUUGUCCGGCAAAAUAAGAGCCGUGCAUUGAUUCAAUGUCGAGUCGCAGCAUAAGUGAAGCAACUCAAAGGCUGCUAGCAUGACGCAGGAUAUGAAAAGCUCAAAUACACCUGUGCUUCGAGUGUAGGCAAUUCAGACCAGACCAUGCCUUUUCAAAUAGGACAAUGUUAGAGUAUCGAGCAUGAUAAUAGUAAUACCUGGAAAUACACUCAAAUUUCAGCUAACAAAACAGAUUUCGUUCAUCUCAACUAUGCUAUGUUCAACUGGCACUAUGUGAAGAGUCCUUAUAAAACAAAAUAAAUAAUAUGAAAACAAAGAGAUAGAAGUGGGAAUCAUAUUAAUGUUACUUAUCACUUUUUAAAUGAUCAAGAAAAUCAUUGUCUAUUGGCCUAGAUGUGGAAAGGAUUCUAAGAAAUUGCAGUGUCCCACUGUACAAUAAUGAAAGUAGCCCUUCAGGGCAAAUCGUGUUUCUUGGAUCGAAAUACAACUUUUCUUCUUUAUGCAAUUGGUAUUUUAUGUGAAAGUAUAAACAUCUUUUUGUUAAUUAACUAUCCUGCUAAUGUACUGAAGCUGAAGCAUAAAAGCAUCGUAUGGAAAGACAAAAUUCCGAAAAAUUCUACGUAAAUGUUCAAACUGAAGGAUUUCCAUAAAUCUAGUAAAAAACCUUGACUGUUGCAGCUGGAGUAUCUAUGUACGUGGUUGUUUGGUUGUAUGAAAUGUAUUGGAGAUCAGUAAAUGGCUUUACUUGCGCAGUUGUAGAAGACUUUCAUUCUCUUGGCAUUGGCACUUGGUAAUGAUAGAUGAAAUUGUUUCAGUUGCAGAUCUGAGCGCAAUUAAUUUGGUCAAACAGUUUCAACAAAGCUUUCACUUUCUGCGAUGCAAAACGGAGUAAAAUCAAAGCAAACAUACUCAAGGAGUAAGGAUACCGUGAAAAAAAGGUGGACAAAAAUUUUCUUACCAUCGCAAGCUAGAACAAGGAAUUCGUGUUCUGGUGUUAAAUCUUUAACAAUGACGUCGGGCCAUGCUGUAAAAUGGGUGUGUUUUUAUUUCACUUUAACAUACAAUCAACUAGCGUAAAAAGAAAUCUUCAGCCGAUGUAAUCAUAACACAAAUUGUAGCUAUUUUUGAAGAAUAUUGAAUAUUUCCAUUUCCAUGAUUAUCACAAAAGUACAAGGAAUAAAGCCGAAUAACCACGUGGAUUGUUA